AACAAAGAGAACCCAGAGAGCUCUGCUUUUACACUUUAAGGAACACUGAGUGGACAUGCAACAUGCCUAGUGUAUGGCUCCUGUUGGCUUCUCCAUGAGAGCUCCAAAGGCAGAGGAGGAAGAGGAACUCCAGUGAUAAACAGGCAACAGUCAAUCCUGAUGACAGGAAUAAGAAUGAAAAAAUGAGAUCUGCUUUUUCCCCCCUUCAUUUCACCUCCAAAGAUAAAUUUUAUCUCUGAUUUUCUCCUGAGAGCAUGUUCCAUGCAAGAUGAACUAUAAAAGUGCAGUUAUUUCUUAUUGCUAUUGUGUGAAUGAGAGAAUAUGUUUCAUUCUUUGUUUUAAAUAAUGUAUUAAUGAUGUUGGAUUGUCAAAAUGAAGUCUUAUAUCAGUCAAGCUAUAAACAAAAGAAAGCUAAUUUUCCCUUUGACUUCCAGAUAAAUCAUUAAUUAUACCACAGACCAGAUCAAAUUCGGUUAUAAGAAGAAAUGUGUUAACAGUGUAAUAUAAGUAUGUCAAAUUUCAACAAAAAGGACAUUUGGAUAAUGAGCUGUAAGCUCUUCAGAGAUGAAGCAGGAUUCCUUCCAGACCAAAGUCACAAGGGUUACAUAGUCUACAUAUAGAUGCAUUGUUCCAAUCAUCCCAUCUCACCAAGACAUCUCAAAACACCCAAGAUCUGAUACUUUCUGUGGAGGAACUGUUUUCCCAUACAGACUGUACAGGAGAUCAGAGAUACAUGACUAUGGUCCAAUGAGUACUGCAGAUUAACUAAAAAUUCAAAGUCCAGAACCGUAAAUGGAACUAGAACACCAACGGCAUUUAAUUUGUGAUAGAAAGUAGACAUUGUAUGGCCUAUUUUAAUACAAAUAUGAUACCACUGCAGCUUUAGAAGCCUAAUAGUGUCAGGCAGAUCAAGUAGAUUGCAUGUGAGUGAGACACAUUCUAUUCCUGGAAAGGGGAAAGCAAAAAGCAUUUACUACAUACCUUGAGAGGGAAAUAAGCAGCAUGAACUAAGGAGGAUAACCUGAAAGGAGAUGUAUUUUGUACACAACAGGACAAGCUAAGUCAUCAGUCCUUUGUAUAACAAAACUUGUAGACAAAGAUUAUAACAGGACAAUGAUAAUAACAGGAGUUAUUAUCCAAAGAUUUAUUCAAACCUACCAUUACCCAGAGAUUCUCUAUGCCCCACUUUGAAGUUUUAACAACCACUGACAAGGGUUGCCACCCCUGGCUGGGCUCCAGCUAUCUUAUAAAAGCUACAUUUACUUUGCAAAUCCCCUCCUUUCAAGUUUCCAGUCCUAGGCACAAUUUACAGCACAGUCAAGCUCCUAAUCAGGGCUGGAUCCAGGCAUGCAUCUAGUCAGCCCGCAGCACUGCAGCUUUCACAAAGGGGAAUCCAGGCAUGAUGGCCAAACUGACAUUAUCAGCUAAGCAUAGCAGCAGCCAGUGCUGAUUCUUGGCAUUACUGAUGCUGAUAUUGUGUAUGUGGCAGUAGAGAAAAUUUCUCCUCAGCACAAAUUUUAUGUAUUCGAAGGAAAGCUGUAGCUGAAACAGUAUCCAGACUCUAAGUAUAAAGUGCAGUAGAGCUGCAAUGUUAAUUGGACCUUAUAUAUUCCAUAAUAUGUAGGACUUAGAGAACCAUGGUUUAGAUUUGUAAUUUUCACAUUUGGAACUAAAAGGGGUGUACCUAAUGUGUAAGAUUAAGGAUAAUAUGUACUUGAGUACACACUUCCCAAGGAAAUUCACUAAAAUUCAAGUAUCACUGUCUUUUUGACAUUUCAGCUUAUAUAUAUAAGUUGUAUUUGAAGCAACUCUAAAAAUAUCACAGAUUGCCUUCCUUUUCUGAAAUUGUCGACAUGAAUUUUCCUAGUUUAAUCUAUUUUUUUCUCUACGAGAAAGUCCUUCCCUCUCCAUUCAAAUAUGAAAAUUUAUCUGUUUUCAUCCAUAUAAAUCUCUUUCCAAAUGAUUGGGUUUUUUUAUCCACCAUAUAAGAGAUGAAUUUCACAUUACCAGUAGCCUCAUCCAAAAGCUUUAAAUUUUGGAGUUACUUCAAGUUUAUAUGGAAUAGUAUCAGUGCAACCAAAUACUUCUUCAUAGUUUUUUAACUGAAGGACUGCUUAACAUUUCUGACAAAAAUCCCCAGAAACUACACCCACUAAUUUUUGGCAGCUGGAAAAGAAGGUGGUUGUUUUGUUGUUUAAAAUAAUUCUUUUCUUUUACAACUAUAGAGGAACAGAAAUACUGUUUAUCCCCUGCAGUCUGUCUUCCAGAAGGCAGCAGGUUUCUGCACCACUAAUUGCAAUUCACAAGAGGGACAUUUUUAAAUAUAUACUUCUUAAACUCGGGUAAAAUUUCAGAAUAUGACAUUUUGUAUCUCAUCCAAAGCACAGUAUUUUGUCUUUCUGGUUUUUGUAGUUCCCAGCACAGAGCUGUAUUUUCCAUUUGCUGCAAGGGUGCUGUCAGGAACAUGGAGGCAUUUCCUUAAUUCCUUAAAGGAACCUGAGCUCAUUUCAACACUGAGUUUCCUUCUGAUGGGGAGAACCAACCCCUUGGUCACUUUCAGCCUCAAUUGGACAUGCACACAGCACAUCCUUCCUGCAUCUUAAGAGCUCUAUACAUGCAGCAGUGAUAACAGCAGUACAGGGGAGAGAGUGAAAUUAAUGCCAUUGAGAUGGACAUAUGUUUCCUUAGAGCCAAAUCUGAUGAGAGAACUCUGCAACAGCAGAAGAUCCACAGUAGAAAGUCCCAUCUCAGGGAGCAAAAUCAACAGUGCUGCAAUUUUUUCAAUGCCACACAGCACAGAGAGAGCACCACAAUGGUACACACAGAGCUAAGGCAAGAGGCUACAGCCAUCUAAGUCCACAUUCAGGCAUUUCCAGUGCCCAUUCCAGUAGGGAAGCAGCUCUACUGACUACAAAACAGCUGCGAGUUUCUCAGUAAAAGUAGUAGUUUAUAUAUAUAAAAAUAAAAGUAUAUAGCUCAAAAAGUGCUUCACAGCAUGAACUUAACAAAAAUAGCAAUUUCCAUGUAUUGGUAUCUGCAAAUAUUUAACUAUAUGUUUAUGAUGUCUCUGUCUCCUUGAUUUCAUUUCAUCUGUUCAGGGUUCAUACAGUUUGCAAAGACUUUAAUUAGGACAAGUAUUAAUAAAGUAUUUGCAAUUGCCAUCAAAACUGCACAAACCUUCCAAACUGAGCUAAUCUAAGAAAUUUACAGCUGUGAGUCCUUGGAAGAACAAGAAACCCAAACGACACAAGCUCAUUUAAUAAAUUCAGAAAAAUUAUUUUCAGAAAGAUAUGUGAUUCAAGUAAAUACAUUUAAUGUAUUUCAUGUCAGUGGUUUCCUCUGGUUGUCUUGAACUGUAUUGAGAAGAAAAAAAUAAUUCUUAAAUACGUAUACCAAAAGCUGUGAAGGCAGGAAAAGCAUUUUCCAAUUCCUGGUGUGAAAAUAAAGAAUUUCUCUCAGUAAAGUAAGGAUUGAUUUUCCCAUCCUCAGUGUCAAGCUCAUUUGUUUCUAAUUUUAAUGGGAUUAACCUACACCAAAUUAUCCAUUGGCUUUUAAGAAUACAGCAUCUUAAAACACUGCAGCAUUUGUAGGUGUAACUUCCAGGCUUAAAAAAUAGUGGAAUCUGAUGAACAUC
Molecule: non-coding RNA, 3634 nt
Organism: Cyanistes caeruleus (blue tit)
Lineage: Eukaryota; Metazoa; Chordata; Aves; Passeriformes; Paridae
Source: RefSeq, a predicted model, not a curated record